Molecule: long non-coding RNA, 677 nt
Filed under: Rattus norvegicus (Norway rat)
Lineage: Eukaryota; Metazoa; Chordata; Mammalia; Rodentia; Muridae
Description: long non-coding RNA NONRATT025572
Source: RNAcentral
CUGCUGUAUGGGACGGCAGAGGACAUGACAGCGCGGCCCCAGACCCCCCAGAAAGUCAUUGUCCCCUCUCCAUCGUGGCAGAACUCUGCCUCAUCUCCAGCAAGCAGUGGUGGUGGCUCUACAGCCACACACAGCAGCCAGUGACCAAGGGACAGGACAGCUGUCACCCUCCUACCACACCUGCUCGGCAGCUUGACCAGCGACUACACUGCCUGUUCCCUGCCCCUCAUGCUGGGAGUGCUUCAGAGCCCCUCCAAGGCUUGUCACCUCUGGCAGCCAUCCUGGCUAUCAGUCUUGGGCCAUGGUGCUGUCCCUGCUAACCAGGGCCUUUGGAAGGCCCCUCAUCUUGAGGAAGGCCCACCUCUCCCCAGGCUGGAUACCCCUGGAGAGCCAGAGAUGCCCCACUCUCAGGACAGAAGGCCGGUACCCCAAGGCCCUGCUCCCAGGCCGGGAUAGGAAUAUGCCCCAGAAGGCCACGGCAGAGAGCUGCAUGGGUCACGUGACAGCCCGCAGCUCAGCCUCAGCUGCUCCCAGUGGAAGAGACGUUUCCUCACUCUUUUUGGAGCAGGUAUGGCAGACAAGAGGUCAGACCACAGCCACCAACCACCUGCCCCUUCCCUGUCUCCAAACCAUCCCCAUGUCUAACCUCAUAGUUGGCAAAUAAAGUUAAACAGAAG